AAGAAGGGAAAGAACCAAGUCGUCCCCUUCCUCCCAGAAGGCAAGUUAGACCGGACGGAUGUGGCUUUUUCCGCCGCAAACGUACAAACAAUGACGACGAGGUUCUAAGAGAAGUGUUGACUUCCCUCCUAGGUGAGGGAAAGGGGAAAGGGGAAGAGAAAAUUUGGGACUGAAAAUUGAAUGAAAAAAAGAUCUAGCAAAGGAAGCUCAAAAGGCAUAAUCAACUAUAAGAAGAGGACCAAGAGUGAGCAGAGUCACAAAAAUGAAAGUACAUUCAGAAGAGACAAUGGCCAACAUUGUAAAAUUUUGCACCCAGGUCAAAAAAAGAUAAAGACUGAAGAAAGGAGAUUAGAUCUGUCAAUCAAGAAAUCAUUGUUAGCUUCUAGAAACAAAUAAAUAGGGCAUUUUUCCUGGAAUAUCAGUAGUGUAUUGUGAACUAAAGAAAAUUGGGAAUCUGGAAAGACUCCAAACUCUGAAGGUCAGGCAAAGAAGUGGCAAGUCAGCCACAUUUGCCUGGCUGUAGAGAAGCACCUACCUGAGGAGUGGUCCUUCCCCGCCAAAGAUGAAGUAAUGUGGAAGGAGCUGAGAACUCAAAGCCUACCAGCACAUUAAAAUAUUCAUCCAUUGCGCCUGCCAAGGGAGAUCCAAAUGAUUUACUGUAAGGCCAAUUAGAUGGAAGGCAUACCUGGGUAUAAAAGACACUGGCAGCCCUUGCUUUGUGUCUUUGGGAUAAAUGGAGACAUCAUUGACCUAUUCUUUAUUAAUAGAUUGCAUAUUCUUAUUAAUAAACAAUAUUAUAGCUGGAGAAA
This is a non-coding RNA of Monodelphis domestica (gray short-tailed opossum), 809 nucleotides long. The record is from RefSeq and is a predicted model, not a curated record. Lineage: Eukaryota; Metazoa; Chordata; Mammalia; Didelphimorphia; Didelphidae.